This 669-nucleotide long non-coding RNA is filed under the name Medicago truncatula (barrel medic). RNAcentral's name for it is "lncRNA gene22990". Lineage: Eukaryota; Viridiplantae; Streptophyta; Magnoliopsida; Fabales; Fabaceae. The record is from RNAcentral.
GUUAUUUAAUCGAGAGGUUGCAGUUGUUACGCUUGGUUGAGUGUCUCUGACCCCAAGCGAAGUAGCCUUAUCUCUACUCGAUUUACUUUUAUGUCGAAUAGUUAAAAUAGUUUUACACAAACAAACUUUUAUACCCAAACACUUAAUAUGAUAAAUGAUGUUGAAAUGCUUAAGAUAUACGCAACUUCCAGCGGAAUCGAUCUUAUUAUACUCACAUGUAAAUAGUUUAUGACAUGUAAAAAUCUUACAUCAGUGACCACACAUACACUCACAUGGGAAGCGAAAAGUGUUGAAAUCUGGGACCAACACCAACAUAAAACGCCAUCACAGCCAACCACUAGGUUGUAACAACAGGGAAGAUGCGGUUACAAAUUUAAACUGUCAAAAGAGUAAUUUUGCACCCUAGAAAUAGGAUUGUGGUGGGAGAAAGUGUGUCUAGCCAUCAAAUGAUCGUUGAACCAUAGUCACACGUUCACAAUUUGCUUUGGUACGUGGUACACGUUUGGGUCCACGGUUCGUAAUUUUCAAAUAAUUCGGUACGUAGAGGUAUGCAUAGUCGGAACCUUACAGGUUUGUGGUAUAGUUUUAAUUGAAUUAGAACAUGGACGUGAUUAGGAUAAUGAAAACAUAUUAUCAAAUAUUAUUAACAGAAGGUAUUUUGUAUGUCCC